AUACGUAGGGAGCGAGCGUUGUCCGGAAUUACUGGGCGUAAAGGGCGCGUAGGCGGCGCUUCAAGUCGUCUGUCAAAUGGGAGGGCUUAACCCUUUUUCGCAGACGAAACUGGAGAGCUUGAGAAGCAGAGAGGCAAACAGAAUUCCUGGUGUAGCGGUGAAAUGCGUAGAUAUCAGGAAGAAUACCAGUGGCGAAGGCGGUUUGCUGGCUGCAUACUGACGCUGAAGCGCGAAAGCCAGGGGAGCAAACGGGAUUAGAUACCCCGGUAGUCCUGGCAGUAAACGAUGUAUGCUGGGUGUGAGACUAGCGAUAGUUUCGUGCCGGAGUUAACGCGAUAAGCAUACCGCCUGGGGAGUACGGUCGCAAGAUUGAAACUCAAAGGAAUUGGCGGGG
RNAcentral lists this ribosomal RNA (394 nucleotides) under uncultured bacterium. RNAcentral's name for it is "partial 16S ribosomal RNA". It matches the Rfam family "Bacterial small subunit ribosomal RNA", at positions 523 to 918 of the family's 1533-position model. The record is from RNAcentral.